RNAcentral lists this long non-coding RNA (1646 nucleotides) under Schizosaccharomyces pombe (fission yeast). The record is from RNAcentral. Lineage: Eukaryota; Fungi; Ascomycota; Schizosaccharomycetes; Schizosaccharomycetales; Schizosaccharomycetaceae.
UUUCACCGCACAUUCUGUUCCUGACUGAGUAAAUUAACUGACUUCUUUGAUCAUCGCUUAAAAUUUACAGCACACUUAAAAGGAUUCAUUCAUUUUGUGAAAGAUAAAUAUCAUUAUUAUAAUUUUACUCAUUAAAUCAUUAAGCUUCAUUCAUCACAUUUGUUCGUAAACACUAAAGUCCCCCUUCUCAUAUCCAUAUGUCAUAAUAAAAUUAAAAUGAGGUUCGUAGAAACUUCUGAGAAAUAUCUUCGCAUUUGUCAGAAGAAAACAGCGAUACCAUACUCCAAAUGAGGAAUACUUUUAAUGCAUAAAAACACAAUAAAACAGCAUUAAUAUCAUCGGAGCAAACACCCAAUACCGAUAAGAAUAAUAAAAAAAAUACAACUAAAGAAAAAAAUAACUUGUACUUUCACGUUCUAUCUAAGAAAACUGAGCUUCAUCCACAUCUGUUUGAUCAUCCAUCGAAUCUUCAUCAUCUGUAUAAUUCUUAUCAGAAGAUAUUUGAUGAGAAACGAAGACAUCACUAUGUGGCUUAACAAAAUCCAAAGGCUUAAGUUCUCUAGCGGCCCGCAAAUUUUCCUAUAAUGAAAUUAGUAUGCGACGAUUUGAAUCAAAUAAAAAUAAAUAAAAGUAAACACAAACCAGCGAACUUACCCUAUUAUAGAUUUCUUCGUGCUCCACACGAAGGAUGUUCCACAUACAACGCCGCAUGAUCUCAGCAAGGGUCACAAAAAAACUAAUCCCUGAAGAGUGCUGAAUGUGGUUGGGAAAUAUGCAAUAGAAUAUAAAAGAGCUUCUAACGAUAAAAUUUAAGAUCAUAGCUAUAAUAUACGGCCACAACUGUUUUAGAAUUCGAUGCUCACGGAAUUGCCAACGACCAUCCUUUCGAACCAAAAGGUUCCAAUCCAUCAAAAUAUCCCACGUAUAAGAAAAAAGUGAAUUUACGCCAGCAAAAAUAGUAUACAAAACCCGAUAUUUCAAGCCGGGAUGAAUCCUCCACAGACUUAAAAACAUUUGGGCGAGGAUAUUAAAAAUAUAUUUUAGAGCAUUCACAAGAUGUGGAAAGCUUUUCAACGAAUCUGAAUAUCUUCGGAAACAUUGAAAAACACGUAAGAUGCCAGGCAAUGUGGUAAAGAAACCUAGCAAGGGAGAAUGUGAUGAGUUACAAAGCUGUGGUUGUCGCCAAAGUCGCUUAUAAAGGCAAAAGAACAAAGAUAUAUUACCGCAUGCAUAAGUUAGACUAACCAUUUGAUCAGCAAAAAAGAAAUCCUGAAAAUGGACAGUAGAAAGCCCAGAUAAAAACACACGGAUAAGCUGAAUUAUCAAGUAUCUUCGCAUUCUCCAAUAGGGAACAAUGACGGGGGCUAUUAAAAACGUGCCCACUACUCCCAAAAACAGGGCCGGAAAAUAUAUUGUGAAGCCAGGAAAGAAAUUUCUCAUACACAGGAAAAAGAACAGCGAAAAAAUAAAGAAGACUGCUCCUACGAUCUCCAAAUGCUGACGCCAGUUUAAAGAUUUUCUUUGAUUAAAUUCGAAAAUAAGCAUGUAGUUAACCCGUGUCUUCUCCCACACGUAACAGUCUAAAUCAAACAGUACGAACGCAAAAAUUACUAAAAAAAAACCUCCCCAUAUCUGAAGAAGGUAGG